Molecule: ribosomal RNA, 446 nt
Filed under: uncultured bacterium
Lineage: Bacteria
Description: bacterial LSU rRNA
Rfam family: Bacterial large subunit ribosomal RNA
Source: RNAcentral
CUAACCUGGGUCCGUCAUCCGGAUCGGGGACCGUGCAUGGUAGGCAGUUUGACUGGGGCGGUCUCCUCCCAAAGUGUAACGGAGGAGCUCGAAGGUCGCCUAGGUACGGUCGGACAUCGUACUGAUAGUGUAAUGGCAUAAGGCGGCUUAACUGCGAGACCGACAAGUCGAGCAGGUGCGAAAGCAGGACAUAGUGAUCCGGUGGUUCUGUAUGGAAGGGCCAUCGCUCAACGGGAUAAAAGGUACUCCGCGGAUAACAGGCUGAUACCGCCCAAGAGUUCACAUCGACGGCGGUGUUUGGCACCUCGAUGUCGGCUCAUCACAUCCUGGGGCUGUAGCCGGUCCCAAGGGUAUGGCUGUUCGCCAUUUAAAAGUGGUACGUGAGCUGGGUUUAAAACGUCGUGAGACAGUUUGGUCCCUAUCUGCAGUGGGCGUUGGAAGUUUGA